GAUGAACGCUGGCGGCGUGCCUAAUACAUGCAAGUCGAGCGAACAGACGAGGAGCUUGCUCCUCUGACGUUAGCGGCGGACGGGUGAGUAACACGUGGAUAACCUACCUAUAAGACUGGGAUAACUUCGGGAAACCGGAGCUAAUACCGGAUAAUAUAUUGAACCGCAUGGUUCAAUAGUGAAAGACGGUUUUGCUGUCACUUAUAGAUGGAUCCGCGCCGCAUUAGCUAGUUGGUAAGGUAACGGCUUACCAAGGCAACGAUGCGUAGCCGACCUGAGAGGGUGAUCGGCCACACUGGAACUGAGACACGGUCCAGAAUCCUACGGGAGGCAGCAGUAGGGAAUCUUCCGCAAUGGGCGAAGCUUGACGGAGCAACGCCGCGUGAGUGAUGAAGGUCUUCGGAUCGUAAAACUCUGUUAUUAGGGAAGAACAAAUGUGUAAGUAACUAUGCACGUCUUGACGGUACCUAAUCAGAAAGCCACGGCUAACUACGUG
Molecule: ribosomal RNA, 496 nt
Filed under: uncultured bacterium
Lineage: Bacteria
Description: partial 16S ribosomal RNA
Rfam family: Bacterial small subunit ribosomal RNA
Source: RNAcentral